AGGUUUCUGAAUCCGCGCAGAGAUUUCGUCAGACACCAACCCAUUAGGGUUGAUCAGACUUUUAAGAUAAGUGGAGUU
RNAcentral lists this microRNA precursor (78 nucleotides) under Schistosoma mattheei. RNAcentral describes it as "mir-3492 microRNA precursor family". It matches the Rfam family "mir-3492 microRNA precursor family". Lineage: Eukaryota; Metazoa; Platyhelminthes; Trematoda; Strigeidida; Schistosomatidae. The record is from Rfam by way of RNAcentral.